RNAcentral lists this long non-coding RNA (2138 nucleotides) under Mytilus galloprovincialis (Mediterranean mussel). The record is from RNAcentral. Lineage: Eukaryota; Metazoa; Mollusca; Bivalvia; Mytilida; Mytilidae.
GUUUCACAACACUCAAAUCAAGCCAUAAACAAAGCAUUAAUAAUUUUGCCUCAAGGACAAAUGCAAUUGUACAUUUUUCAUUGUUUUUAGAAAACCAUAAAGGAAAAUAAAAACAAACUGCUGACUUUUUGGAGACUUUACUCUUCAUAACAAUUCUUGGUAUUUUUUAUUAGUCUGCCCUCUACAUGAAUCAUCUGAUCAUGAGAUCCCUUAACAACAGUUGUUUGAUGGACCUUCUAAAUUUUUUUUGGUAAAUUAUCCAUUGUUUGCUUAAUUCAAUUCCAGUGGUAAAUGUCAAGGCAUAUACAGGACAAGUCACUUUGGCAUAGUAAAAUAUCAAAAAGGUGUGAGAAAUUUUAUACAAAUGAAAAACAAUUCUAACAACAAUUAUUCUAACAAUUAUAACAAAAAGAAUAGGCACAUGCCAAGAUAGACAAAAAGCUAUUGUAUCAUAGGACAAGGUUGCUUAAGUUUCUACUUAAAGAUAACAUCAAUAAAACUAUAUUUUAGGUUAAAUGGCUUUAAAUAUUUCUUAUGGUUGAUAAUGUAAAGUUCUAAGAGGGGCUUUAAGGUUUUGUUAAUGUCAAGACUCAGUGGGGAUUAUCUUCAUGUGGUUUAUGAUUAUGCCAUUUCUCAAGAACAGCUGUUUGGUGGACCUUCUGAAAUUUGUUUCAUAAAUUAUCCAUUGUUUGCUUAAUUUCCAGUGGUAAAUAUCAAGGCAUAUACAGGACAAGUCACUUUGGCAUAGUAAAAUAUCAAAAAGGUGUAAGAAAUUUUAUGCAAACGAAAAACACAUCUAACAAUAAUUAUUCUAACAAUCAUAAAAAAGAGUGUAUGCACAUGCCAAGAUAGACAAAAAGCUAUUGUAUCAUAGGACAAGGUUGCUUAAGUUUCUACUUUAAGAUAACAUCAAUAAAACUAUAUUUUAGGUUAAAUGGCUUUAAAUAUUUCUUAUGGUUGAUAAUGUAUAGUUCUAAGAGGGGCCUUUAAGGUUUUGUUAAUGUCAAGACUCAGUGGGGACUUAUCUUCAUGUGGUUUAUGCAUUCAGGCCAGCUUAAUGAAAAGGUAGAGAGGGGCGUUUACCUUAUGUGGUAUAUGAAAAGUUAUGUUUAAAGUUUCUAUCUUGCUUUAAACAUAAUAGGCAAAAAAGCCAAAAAUUAAAUAGGUUUGUUAUUAUAUAAAUUGAUUUAAGCUGUAUUUUAGGAUAUUUGAUGAUUUUAUAUAAACUAUUUAACCACUUUGAGCUGGUUGCUAGGCAACAGAAUAUACAAGAUAGACCCAAAAUGCCACUAUUUUCAGACGGUCUGUGGUAAAGAGUAACAACAUGACAAAUUAAAUGAAAUAUUGGGAGUGGGGCCAAAAAUAGCCCUUAUCACUCCUUGUCCUUUGGCCCAGUAGUUUCAGAGAUGUUCAUUUUUGUAAAAGUUAUCAGAGGACAACAAUAAUGAAUGCCAAAUGAUGAGAAAAGCUCACUUGGUGCCUUUGGGCCAUAUGACCUAAAAACAACGAUUCAUACAAUGAAAUGCUUUCUCCUUGCACUUCUUCAAAAAAAUUUCAAGAACUUCUCUGUUCUUUUACACGAGGGACACUGUCAGUUAUACUAGUAAUGAACUGACAUGGUAUUAGCUUAAAUCUAUCAGACAUAUUGGAUGUAAUUCACAAACUGCUACUAAUGACACAUUGCCAUGCAGAUACAUCUCAACUGAUGUAAACAAUGCUUAAAGUUGUCAUACAGAUCACAACUACAAAAUAUCUAUCAUUAUCAAUAUGUGACAAUAUAUAUUUACAUGCAUCGGAAAAAUCUCAAGUGAUGUUAACUAUGCUCAAUGUUGUCACACAGAUCACUACCACAAAAUAUCUACCAUUAUCAAUAUGUGACAUUAUAUGAUAUUUACAUGCACAUAUGUGUAGGUUUAUUAUAGAGAUAACUAUAUCAAUGAAGACUGUCUAUCAAUACAUAAUAGGCAUAUUUUGAUCCCUGAUAUCAUUUAAUAGUUUGAUCACACCCUGCCCUGACAAGUUCUGUGACUCUAGCCAACUCAUAGCUUUGCUCACAAUAAACUUCAAUUCAUCAGCAUGUUUCUCAAGGAAUUUCUGCAGGAAAACUAUAACAUAGGCUGUGCACCAAACAUCCAACU